Long non-coding RNA from Strigops habroptila (Kakapo), 2587 nucleotides. NCBI's taxonomy places the organism in Eukaryota, Metazoa, Chordata, Aves, Psittaciformes, Psittacidae. The record is from Ensembl.
UUUUUUAAUCUAGUUAGAGUCUUCACAUGCAGCCUAGCACUUCACUUCAAUAGGACCUUCCAAAAUCCCCAAGAUUCCCUCAGCUCCCCUUUCAAAAAUGUCUUGGAAAAAAACCAAACCAGCAACUUAUCUUUUAUUAAAAAAACAAGUGUAAUCAGGUAAUCAAUAUUAACCCUUUCAGAUCUAGCACUUUGUCAUGAAGUUUAAGAACAAACACAGUUCUGAAGUUCUGAUCAUCUUUCAUGGCAUACUCCACUGCCUUUUUCAUGCAUCACCUGAAUCUGAAGCUGCUCACUCAGCUGAGACCUGUGUCACAAGUCAGUGUGAAAAGAGAAUGCAGACAGUGUUCCAGCAGAAAAAAUAACCCCUUGAACUCACAGGGUAAUCAAUGCAAAAAUCAAACUUCUGCAAUGAAUAAACUCAACUAAGACAAAUAAUAAAUUAAAACAAAGAACAGAAUUCUCACAUCUUUGAACUGAGGAAGUACUUUUGCAUCCACUGCAUUCUAAGGCAGAUAUUGAUAUAUAUUACAGUAGUUUGGAUGUGGAUCCAACCUUUCCCUCACAAAAGGUACAUUGCCAGUGGUAGGACAUUAUAAAUGGAGAUAUUUACAUUAUUAGAAUAUGACAAACAAAAUAUACAUUAGUUAUUUAAAAUUUGAAGUUUUCACACAUUCCAUUUGCAGAAAGGAAUCUCAAGAGGGAUGUGAAAGAACAGUAGAAGGCAAAGUCAUGAAAGGGAAAACACUACUGUAUCAGCUUUUAACAUGAUCUUAUGGCUGAAAACAAGGAGAAACGAGCACCAUAUACCAGUUUCUAUAAUAUAAUAAGAAUGCAUGGCUUUCAGUUUAAAGACCUACAUGGUGCUGUGAACAUUCUCAGCUAACUACAGCACCAGAAUAAAGAAGCCCUGAAUUGCCAUUUUACGAGAUCUUCAUUCUGAGACAUACAAGAGGAAAAACCAAUUUGCUAUAGCAAGGACUGUCACAAACUAGGGAAGCUAUUUGUAGCUAAUAAGAAAAAAACCCAGCUGCUUUGAAUUAUAAUCCAGAGAACCCACCUUCUUCCGUGAUCAUAACAGAGAGCUUGCUACUUAGCUUAAAGAGCUUAAGCUUGUAUGAGUCAGACUCCACAGUGUUUAUCAAAACUCUAAUACUCUGUGGUGCUUUAAAAAUAGGAUAAUUUUGUUUUGUUUUAUUGGACUUUGUUAACAAUACACUCUUCAUGUAACAAUCUUGUUGCCAUAAUAAUCCUAAACCAAAAUGUUUAGUUUACUUUGGAUAAUUCUAAAAGUUUUAGAGAAAAAGAUAUUCAGAAUUUUAUAACAAGCAUGUUGCUCCUUCCAAUUCACUUUUACUACUUCACUCACUGUGAUACUAUAACAUUACUAAAUUUCCACUUCUUGAAACAACACUCAAGUUCAGUACAAGUUAAUAGUAGCCCUAUCAUCUGUAACCAGCUUGGAAUAUCUAAGUGUUUAUUCCUAAUGGAACCAGUUCGUAAAAACACUGUUUCUGACAAACUGAACAGCAGUUCUGCAACAGAGGCUGUACCAUAUGGUAAAAGCUCUUUCCUGUCUGGUUGUGUUUUUAUAUUCUCACCCCACUUUUCUUCCUGCUUCACAUGUAUUUUCCCUGCAUACACCAUGACCGUGUAUCAGAAAAAUAAACUAGAAAAGUCUAGCUUAGAUACCAAAUCCUUUUCCAAGUAAGGCCUUUCUUGCAGUAGAGUCUUGAAAAAAAUUCUGUCAUCAGUGAUCUGAGUUCAUAAGACAGUGUCAGAAAUACUGAGCUUACCUGGAACCUCAGCUUUCCCAUCUAGAAGUGGUAGUCUAACACAGAAGACCACUUUUAGCCUUUGUUCAGCACAGCAGAUUCUGGAUUCUUUCUAUCCUCAGCCUCAAAACUGUCAUGGUAACAGGACACAUGGCUCUCAAUGUCUAUACUACUAAAAUUACAAAGAUAAGACUUUCCUCCCAUGAUAAGACUUUCCUCUUUCCUGUCAUGAAGCUGUUAAUGUUGUUGGCUAGAAUGAAAGUACUACUUUUUAACUUUUACUGUUAAACCAUAAAGCUGUAGCAUACAGAAAUUUUAGACCAUGUGCAUGUCAUGGAUUUUUACGGGAAAGGGAAGUUGUAAUCAGAAGACAGGAGGCAAAGCAAAUAAAACUUGACAAUGUGAUACUAUUAUCCUAUUUCCAUGUUUAUAUUUAUAUCUUAUAAGGGAAGCAAUGUGCUUCUUAUCACAUUUCAUAUACAACCAGCACUACAAGUGAGCAAAGUCACUUGAAAAUGAACCUAUCUUGGGGUGGUUCCACAGAGUCAGGAACAUGGAUGGUGGCGGAGGUCACUGACACAAAAGAUCACAGAACAGUGGUGGCCAAGCGUACUAAAAAUAGUGCUUACAAUAUUGAGUAGUCUUCAGUGAGAGGAAUGACAACUGAAGACAGCUGAAUCUUUCACAGGAAUAUAAAUUAUUUUAUAGCUUUAGAUUCAAGAAUAAAUAUCAGUAAUACAGAACCUAAAGUUACAUAUUCAAGUCACUGAUAAAAACAGCCUCUCCUGGAAAAAAAAAAAAAAAAAAAAAAAA